UCAUCGAUCAGGUUCCGAAGACCGGUGG
This 28-nucleotide small RNA is filed under the name Bombyx mori (domestic silkworm). RNAcentral describes it as "ovarian small RNA-26100". The record is from RNAcentral. Lineage: Eukaryota; Metazoa; Arthropoda; Insecta; Lepidoptera; Bombycidae.